RNAcentral lists this ribosomal RNA (213 nucleotides) under Triticum aestivum (bread wheat). Its description in RNAcentral is "partial small subunit ribosomal RNA". Lineage: Eukaryota; Viridiplantae; Streptophyta; Magnoliopsida; Poales; Poaceae. The record is from RNAcentral.
AUGGCGCGUCAACACACGGGACUCCUUCCCCAGCUGGCUUUGGGAACGUCCAAAGUCGCCCCGUCCCCUUCUCCGUUCAAAGCAAACCUCCUUCUUCUUCUUCUUCCGUCCGUCCCCUUUCCACUGGUUUCACGCGUCCAGACCCGAUCGAGCAUCCAAAUUGCUCCAGGGAGCAUCCAACUCGGAGCAGAAGAGAUCGCAUCGCCCGACUAG